GAGUUUGAUCGUGGCUCAGAACGAACGCUGGCGGCGUGGAUAAGACAUGCAAGUCGAGCGCUGGCUUCAGGGUAGCAAUAUUCUGAAGUUGGAGCGGCGCAAGGGUGCGUAACACGUGGGUAAUCUGCCAUGAAGUCUGGGAUAACUCGCUGAAAGGCGAGCUAAUACCGGAUGUGAAAAUUGGAAGGCAUCUUUCGAUUUUUAAAGUUGGGGACCGUAAGGCCUGACGCUUCUUGAUGAACCCGCGGCCUAUCAGCUAGUUGGUGAGGUAAUGGCUCACCAAGGCUAAGACGGGUAGCUGGUCUGAGAGGACGACCAGCCACACUGGAACUGAGACACGGUCCAGACACCUACGGGUGGCAGCAGUCGAGAAUUUUUCACAAUGGGGGAAACCCUGAUGGAGCGACACCGCGUGGGGGAUGAAUGGCUUCGGCCCGUAAACCCCUGUCAUUCGCGAACAAUGCGCAUUAUUUAAAAGAUGAUGCGUUGAUAGUAGCGGAAGAGGGAGGGACGGC
This 515-nucleotide ribosomal RNA is filed under the name uncultured bacterium. Its description in RNAcentral is "bacterial SSU rRNA". It matches the Rfam family "Bacterial small subunit ribosomal RNA", at positions 9 to 497 of the family's 1533-position model. The record is from RNAcentral.